Molecule: ribosomal RNA, 232 nt
Filed under: uncultured bacterium
Lineage: Bacteria
Description: partial 16S ribosomal RNA
Rfam family: Bacterial small subunit ribosomal RNA
Source: RNAcentral
CGGACGGGUGAGUAAUGUCUGGGAAACUGCCCGAUGGAGGGGGAUAACUACUGGAAACGGUAGCUAAUACCGCAUAACGUCGCAAGACCAAAGAGGGGGACCUUCGGGCCUCUUGCCAUCGGAUGUGCCCAGAUGGGAUUAGCUAGUAGGUGGGGUAACGGCUCACCUGGGCGACGAUCCCUAGCUGGUCUGAGAGGAUGACCAGCCACACUGGAACUGAGACACGGUCCAG